GGUGGGGACCGGGCGGCAGGGGCAGGCCGAACGUGCUCGUGUCGCCCACAGGUGGCAAGAAGAAGCCACUGAAACAGCCCAAGAAGCAGGCCAAGGAGAUGGACGAGAUAAGGCUUUCAAGCAGAAACAAAAAGAGGAGCAGAAGAAACUCGAGGAGCUAAAAGCGAAGGCCGCGGGGAAGGGGCCCUUGGCCACAGGUGGAAUUAAGAAAUCUGGCAAAAAGUAAGCUGUUCCUUGUGCCUGAGGAGAUGGUGACCCUUUAUUUCAUCUGUAUUUAAACCUCUCUAUUCCCUGCCAUAACAUCUUUUGCCACGUAUAGCUGGAAUUAAGUGUUGUCUUGGAGCUGUUGUACAUUUAAGAAUAAACUUUUGUAAAAAAAAAAAAAAAAAAUCUUACAGUGGCUCAUCAUCUCUUUAGUUGUUUUCACUAAGUCAUUCCUACCAUAACUGUGAAUUUAAAGUAAAACCAGCUCAGAAUCUUGCCAGAGUCUGUUCUUUGGUCCUUGUUCUACCCUAAACUUUGUAUCACCUGAAAUUAAACCAACUCAUUUGAAAGGAUG
Molecule: long non-coding RNA, 559 nt
Filed under: Pan troglodytes (chimpanzee)
Lineage: Eukaryota; Metazoa; Chordata; Mammalia; Primates; Hominidae
Description: long non-coding RNA NONPTRT011387
Source: RNAcentral